This 76-nucleotide transfer RNA is filed under the name Listeria monocytogenes. RNAcentral describes it as "tRNA-Asn". Lineage: Bacteria; Bacillati; Bacillota; Bacilli; Caryophanales; Listeriaceae. The record is from RNAcentral.
UCGGCAGCUUCAGAUGUUUAUAAGAGAGAGGCUGUUAACCGAUCGGUCGCAGGUUCGAGUCCUGCCUGUGGAGCCA